AGUGAACGCUGGCGGUAGGCCUAACACAUGCAAGUCGAACGGCAGCACAGGAGAGCUUGCUCUCUGGGUGGCGAGUGGCGGACGGGUGAGGAAUACAUCGGAAUCUACUCUGUCGUGGGGGAUAACGUAGGGAAACUUACGCUAAUACCGCAUACGACCUACGGGUGAAAGCAGGGGACCUUCGGGCCUUGCGCGAUUGAAUGAGCCGAUGUCGGAUUAGCUAGUUGGCGGGGUAAAGGCCCACCAAGGCGACGAUCCGUAGCUGGUCUGAGAGGAUGAUCAGCGACACUGGAACUGAGACACGGUCCAGACUGCUACGGGAGGCAGCAGUGGGGAAUAUUGGACAAUGGGCGCAAGCCUGAUCCAGCCAUACCGCGUGGGUGAAGAAGGCCUUCGGGUUGUAAAGCCCUUUUGUUGGGAAAGAAAUCCAGCUGGCUAAUACCCGGUUGGGAUGACGGUACCCAAAGAAUAAGCACCGGCUAACGUCGUGCCAGCAGCCGCAGUAA
Molecule: ribosomal RNA, 506 nt
Filed under: uncultured bacterium
Lineage: Bacteria
Description: partial 16S ribosomal RNA
Rfam family: Bacterial small subunit ribosomal RNA
Source: RNAcentral